UGCGUAGGUGGCGCGCUAAGUCAGGUGUGAAAUUUCGGAGCUUAACUCCGAAACUGCAUUUGAUACUGGCGUGCUUGAGGACUGGAGAGGAGACUGGAAUUCAUGGUGUAGCAGUGAAAUGCGUAGAGAUCAUGAGGAAGACCAGUGGCGAAGGCGGGUCUCUGGACAGUUCCUGACACUGAGACACGAAGGCCAGGGGAGCAAACG
Molecule: ribosomal RNA, 207 nt
Filed under: uncultured bacterium
Lineage: Bacteria
Description: partial 16S ribosomal RNA
Rfam family: Bacterial small subunit ribosomal RNA
Source: RNAcentral